RNAcentral lists this ribosomal RNA (407 nucleotides) under uncultured bacterium. RNAcentral's name for it is "partial 16S ribosomal RNA". It matches the Rfam family "Bacterial small subunit ribosomal RNA", at positions 30 to 526 of the family's 1533-position model. The record is from RNAcentral.
AUUGAACGCUAGCGGGAUGCCUUACACAUGCAAGUCGAACGGAGUGGCGAACGGGCGAGUAAUGUAUCGGAACGUGCCCAGUAGCGGGGGAUAACUACGCGAAAGCGUAGCUAAUACCGCAUACUAUUGGAGCGGCCGAUAUCGGAUUAGCUAGUUGGUGGGUUAACGGCUCACCAAGGCGACAAUCCGUAGCCGGUUUGCGAGGACGACCAGGCACACUGGUACUGAUACACGGCCCAGACUCCUACGGGAGUCAGCAGUGGGGAAUUUUGGAAAAUGGGGGAAACCCUGAUCCAGCCAUCCCGCGUUGGCGAUGAAGGCCUUCGGUUUGUAAAGCACUUUUGGCAGGAAGGCGGUACCUGCAGAAUAAGCACCGGCUAACUACGUGCCAGCAGCCGCGGUAAUUC